AAGUCUGGGCAGGGCAGCUUGGGAGGAUUGGAGCUGGGCUCUGAGAUGGUGCAGGCCUGCUGACAUCAGCUGUGUUCCAUGGGGUUGCCAAUUUGCUGAGGGCCAGUGGAAGUUGGGAAAAGGAGUUUGUGCACACCAGCCCAUUUCUCAGGUGGGAUCUGCAGACUGGCCAGCGCCCCGGGUGAGAGCGCUCGCGGUGGGGAGCCCAAGGGGCGGGUCAGGGCGCGUGGGGCAUCUCCUCCUGAUGCCUCCCUGCCCGCCUGUAGUUGGGCAGAGGCGCGCGGCCAGUCAGGGCCCUCGGCCAGCCGGGGACCGGCUCCCCUGGGCCUCCCCGGACUUACUCGGGUAGCGAUAGUAGAAUUCGUUGUCGAGGUCGCUGGUGACGUUCCUGGACAGCUUGUCCUCCGUCCAGCGGGCGUCGGCGUCGGGCUGGUAGCGCACGAACACGCCGAAGAGGACCACCAUGGCCACCUCCAGGAGCAGGCAGGUGGCCGGCAGCCGCCAGCGGAGGAUACAUGAAAAUCCAUACAGGAUACAUCCACACAGGAUCCAGGGGCGCCUAAGAACUAGACCAGGGAAACCCGGCGAGACCGGACAACCCAGCGAGACGUGGACCCCGGAUACUGGCUGGACCAGAAAGAGGGUGACAGUGGGAAAGCCGGCGAAAUCCACACCAAGCCUGCAGUUUGGUUGACAGGGCUGUGCCAUGUUAGCUUCGGGGUUGUGACAGAUGCGCCCGGGUUAUGUAAGAAGUUUAGAGGAAAAAAAUGGGUGCAGGGUAUACAAGGACUCUCUGUACUAUGUUUGCGACUUUUAUGUAAAUCCAAAAUUAUUCCCAAAGAAAAAGAGAUUGAGAAAAAAAUAUGCAUGUUAAAAGAUCAUAAGAACAGUUUAAGAGUUUUUCAUAAGUUCAUUGAGUUAUGAUCCGUAAUUACACAAUGGUUAGUGUGUGAGAUAUUGACAUGAGCUAACUGUAGAAUUUAAGUUAAGUCGAUGCUUUGUCCAUAUUUUGUCAAAAUUACUUUGAUUUUCUGAUUUUUCUUUAAAAAAUGUAAUACAGGUGUAUUGUAGAGAUUUUGGAAAAUACAGAAAAGCACAAAGAAAAACUAAAAACCACCUGUAAUCGCACUAUUUAGAAGCAACACUCCUAUAAGAAAGAUUUGUACUGUAAUGCUGAUUUAUGCUGCUUUAUUCACUUAAUAUUUUGUAACCAUCUUCCCAUAUUCUUCAUCUUCUACAUCAUUCUAAUGGCAGGAUAUGCCAUGCUUUAUCUAGCUGAUCUCCUUGUGUUAGACAAGGAGGUUAUUUUUUAUUUGUUUAGUGUUAUAAAUAACUGCCACGAAC
Long non-coding RNA from Manis pentadactyla (Chinese pangolin), 1344 nucleotides. RefSeq lists it as uncharacterized. The record is from RefSeq and is a predicted model, not a curated record. The transcript is spliced from 4 exons. NCBI's taxonomy places the organism in Eukaryota, Metazoa, Chordata, Mammalia, Pholidota, Manidae.